RNAcentral lists this unclassified non-coding RNA (4450 nucleotides) under Diabrotica virgifera virgifera (western corn rootworm). Its description in RNAcentral is "mucin-22". The record is from RNAcentral. Lineage: Eukaryota; Metazoa; Arthropoda; Insecta; Coleoptera; Chrysomelidae.
AGUAAACAUUGCAUGGAAGGCCAAAUGCGAAUACACAGAACUGUUUCUUUCUAGUUUGGAAAUUUCUAUUUUAUUACCUAGCUUAAUCUCCAAAUAGAUUAAUUUUGUGAAAUAAACUUAUUUAACUAGUGACAGUUUAUGUGAAUGGAAGGUUCUGAUCUGAAAUGGAAACGAUGAUUAAAACAAUAUAUUUCUUUCUACUAUUCGUUUUUGUUAAUACACAAUGGCAGCAGUAUUAUUAUAAAUGGAAUGGAGAUCACUUUGAUAUUAUUGCCUCGGAUAAAUAUGUAAAGAAUUAUCGAAAGAUUCAAGCUCCAAAGUCUUAUAGAAUAGGACACAAUCAACGUGGAGAUCGCCCCGGUAGAUGUAUAGCUGCUCAAUUCUACUGCAGUCAACCAUACUCCUUACAAGAUACUAACCAGUUCGAAUGUGAGACAGACUAUCAGUGCCCAACACCCUUUAAAUGUUGCAAAGUCAAGUGUUUUCUACAUAAAAUUUGUCAACCCAGUAUUGAAGAACAAGAAACUCCUGAUCCUAAUUCACCGGCAUCUCCAGAAGAAAUAAAGAAAACAACAGAAAUUACAACAGCGCAAUCAACGACAUCAACAUUCACAUCCUUUAAUACCGAAGAUAUAACUGCAACGUCAACAAUCACAGAAGAAAUAUCUACAGACACAACGAGAACUGAAGUAACAACACAACAAACUGAUUCGACAACUUCCUCAACAGAGGGUGAAGAAACAACUACAGUUUCUACUACUUUAAGUCGUGAAACUUCUACCGAAACUAUGAAAACCGAAGUAACAACCAAACAAACUGAUUCGUCAACUUCCCCAACAGAGACUGAAGAAACCACUACACAUUCUACCACUUCAAGUCCUGAAACUUUCACCAAAACUAUGAAAAGUUCAACUCCAACAGUGGAAAUAACAACUAUCACAGUGACAACACAACAAAAUGACAUUAAAACUUCACCAGAAAAGGAAGAAACUUCGUCAGUUUCUGAUACUCCAAGUACUGAAACGUCUUCGGAUACUUCGGAAAUACAAACUUCUUUGACAGUGAUAACAACUACCACAACCACACAGGAACCUGAUCUUAAAACGACGUCAGAAAAAGUACAUUCUACAUAUUCUAAUACUGUAAGUAGCGAAAUUGCUACUGAAAAGUCCGAAACGCAAACUUCGUCGAUAACUCCUACAGCAACACAGCAACCUAGUCUUACAACAUCAGAAAAAGAAGAUAACUCUACAGAUUCUAAUACUGAAACGACUACUCAAAAUUUGGAAACAAACAGUGCUUCAACGAAAAUAACAGAGCAAACUUCUUCUAAAGAUUUGGAAACAGAUUCGUCAACAGUCGGCAGUACAGAUAGAGUCACUAAACAGACUGAAGCCACAACAACAACUGAUAAAACUAGUUCAACUUCGAGUGUUCAUACAAGCCCUGAGCAACUGGAAACAGACACUACUCAACACCAAGAGCAGUCAACCGUGACAACAGAAAAUAAGGACAUAUUGACUUCAAUCACUACUAGCAAUAAUGGUGAAGCAACAGAUCUCCCACCAGUACAAAUGAGACGCACCACAAAACAAGAUGAAAUUACUACUACAAAGAGUUCAACAGAGUCUGUUAUUUCAGAGAGUCUGAAGACAAGAGAACCUCCUGAGGAAUUAAAUCAAAAAGACUAUAAAACAAAAGCACCAACAACAACUAUUACACAAAGACCAUCUAAAGGACAAACGGUGACAACUUCUACAACAGAGAUAAGUUUAACCGAGGCAAAAACAACUGAAUCUAAAGCAAUAACAAAAUCCACCAGCAGAAUUAUUGAUAACGAAGAAGGUAGUGGAGGUAUUGACGAGCAUAAUGGUAGUGGAGACAGUGAUUAUGAGGAAAGUGACAAAACAGACACUGGUAACGAAAAAAACAAAGUUAAGGGUAGCGGCGAUGAAAAUCGUGAUGGCAAUGAAAAUGGCACUUCCGAAUUUUCUUUCAGUGAAGAAGAGGACGGUAACGAUUCUAACAAGGAAUCAUCCAGCACACAAACAAAUACAGAACAUGCUAAAGACACGACCACAACUUUUACAGCAGGCGUAACGCCAGACUUAAGCUCAACAGAGAAGAAAACAACCGGAUCUAAAGCAACAACAGACGCCACCAGCGAAAAUAAUAUUGAUAACGAAGAAGGAGAUAUUGACGAAGAAAAUGGUAGUGGAGACAUUGAUAAUGAAGAAAGAGACAAAACAAAUACUGACAACGGGACCAAUAAAAUUGAGAGUAGAGGUGAUAAAAAUGCUGACGACGAAAAUGACAGUUAUGAAUAUCCUUUUAGUGAAGAGGAGGACGGUGAUGAUUCUAACGAAGAAUUAUCUAGCACGAAGAAAACAGAAAAUCCUAAAGAAAAUACUAGUACCAAACCUUCAACAACACAGCCUACAACUACUACAAAUAAAUCACAAGCAAGCUCAGACGCAAAGAAAUUUACUAAACAAAGUGCGGAAGUAACUAAACAAUCUACGCAAGCGACUACACCAACUACAAAGGCAACCACUAUAAACAUUGAAGCAACACAAAAGGUUAAAAUUGAUGAAAUUAAUGGGGAUAGUAAAAAAGAGGGAAACCUUGAUGAAUCUGAAGAAGAAUCAUCUAAAAAAGGUACGGAAGGAGAUACAGGAAAAAAAGUAAUGGAAAGUAGUAGAUCCUCUACAGAAAAACAAGCUGCUCAACCUGCUAGUGCAGACACUACUGAAGCAACUCUACAAACUAUUGGAGGAACUAUACAAUCUACUAAAGAAUCGACACAAACUGUGGAAGAAAUUGUACAAAGUACGAAAGCUACUACACAGACUCAGACUAGUAUAGCAACCCCUAUAGAACAUAAACCAACAGAAACGAAUGCUCCGAAUAGUGAUAAAACGGUAAGCAAUGGAGAAAGCAAAGAAACCAACAAAGAAUAUAGUUAUGAUAAGGAACGUGAAAAUAUAAAAAUGGAUAACCAAAACAAAGAAAUUGACCGUAGUGGUGACGAUAAUGGUGAAGACAAGAAAAAUGAUAGCUCGGAUGGAAAACGUGGCGACUUUGAAAAGGAAUUUUCUAAAAAAGAAGUAGAAGAAGAUAAUACAGGAAAAAAUAUAUCCUUAAACAAAACAACAGGAAAUCUUGAAAAAAUUACUGAGACUAAACCCUCAACCAUAGAACCUAUAACAGAGACCAUUAAUAAUAAGUCCCAGACAAGCUCAGAAGCAAAUAGAUUGACACAAGAAGAUACGGAAGUAACCAGACAAACUGCUAAGGUGACUAUACAAACUACAAAAUUAACUACAGAAAUUGAGGAGAUAAGGAAGACAACUAUGCAAACUAUGAAAACAACCUCCGCAGACAGUGAUGCAACACAGGCGAGUACUGUUAAUGUUGCUAAAGAUUCGACAAAAAAACCUACAGCAGAAAGUAGUAGUCACACGCCAAUAACAAUGGCUAACAAAGUUAGAGUAACUCCAAAAUCUACAAAAGCAGAAUCCACUGAAAGCCAAAAAGAAGCUGUUACUGAGAAUGCACUCAAUAGUGACGAUGAAGAUGGCAGUGGAGAUCAUGCAUAUGACGAUGAUGAAGAUAAUGAUUAUGAAGAUAAUGAUGAUGAUGAGGAUGAUGAAGAUAACGAUGAUGAAAAUAAUGAUGAAGAUAAUGGCGAUGAAGAUGAUUAUGAAGAUAAUGAUGAUGAAGAUACAGACGACAAAGAAUACGAAAAUUAUGAACAUGAUGAGGACGAUACUGAGGAAGAUUCUAAAAAUGAAGAUUAUAAUAGUAUAUUACAUACCUAGCGGGAAAGUACUCUAUUUCAGCCGAGCGGCAAGGUAGUUUACCGAGGUGCGAAGCAACGAGGUAAACUACAGACGCGAGGGUAGAAUGAGUUCCCGCGAGGUUUAUAUACUAUUUUACUCACAAUCGGUUAGUAGUUUAUGGAUUUCUAAUACUCACAAUCUACCAAUAAUAAUUUCGUUUCAAAUAUCUGUAUCCAUUUUCAUUAUGUGAUAAGAUGAAUUAUUUUAAGUAACCUGUGAGAUCGUUGCUAGGUAACAAAACAAGUUUGUUGAAUCUGACAUUUAGGCGAUACACGACGCCAUUAAUUGUACAUAUAAUCAAAUUGUGUUUAUUUUACAAAAAUGUCUGAUAGUGAAUUUGAAUGUACGCCACCAGAACUGCGGGUAGCUGCAGAGAGAGCUACUGAAGGAAUAAUUCCUGAAAAAAAUGUUAUUACGAAGUCUGUCACUAUUUACAUUCUUUCUAAACCAUCUUUUAAUCAAAAAUGACAUUGACAUUUGCAGGUAGAAAAGUGACAGAUGCUAGCCGGGAAAGUACUUUCCCGGCUAGCUGGGAAAGUAAAGUAAGUAAUAAGUCGCUUUCUGAUUACUUCAAAGGUUAGAAAUCCAUAAAUUACUAACCGAUUGUG